GAGACACACUUAUGGGGCAGAACUUGCUUCAGUGGGGCUUUGGUGCUCACUGAGUCUUUCCCUUGAGUGUAUCACU
This 76-nucleotide microRNA precursor is filed under the name Myotis lucifugus (little brown bat). RNAcentral describes it as "mir-9229 microRNA precursor family". It matches the Rfam family "mir-9229 microRNA precursor family". Lineage: Eukaryota; Metazoa; Chordata; Mammalia; Chiroptera; Vespertilionidae. The record is from Rfam by way of RNAcentral.